UGCAUUGGUGGGCAGCUGAGUGCUUGGGGGAAGCGGAGGCAAUCUGUGUCCUAGAGCAGCUACUCCAACCUGGCGAUCCUUGAAGACUGCUUGCACUUCUGCUGCCAAGUGCAUGAGCCAGAGAAGGGUAAUUAAGGUGGAAGCAAAGAAGGAGCCCCUUUUAAUCGCCACCAAAGCAGCCGCUCUGGGGAACUGGCAGGGCUCUGUCCUGCAAGGUUAUUAGAGUUCUCAUUUGUAUUGUCCUUGGAAGAGGUUCUUCAGGGCCGCUGGCUCAGAGCACAGAAAUCAACAGGGAGUAAGACCCCAGAAGCAGGACCCUAGCGGGCUGGGUUGUUUUACUCACCUGGCUUUGGGCCUGAGGAACUAACCUUCCUUCUUAAAACAAGAUGCAAUGGCAAAUGAUGGACUCUGGGGUCAGGAGGAGAGAAUGGAUGUCAACACGUGGCAGCAAAAGCCCAGUUGUGGACACUUAAGUACUUCAGGCAAGCCUGACCUGGUGUCCAAGGCAAAAGACAGACUGUAAAGUCCUGCCUAAUGUGUCACUCAACAUACAGAAACCCCAAGAGGAAUUGUGAGCUCAUGUGAACAUGUCCUUUGCUGGAGGAGCUGGUGGAUUGAAGAAGAGGGAAGCAGAUGCAUGAGUGAAUCCCAGAGGUCAAGCAGACAAGAAAAACAGAAAUCUUGGGGCUGGUCUGGAAUUGAGUGAGGGAGGAGCCUGGAGUUUUUACCGACUUGCCACCAGCCCCAGUACUCUCCACACUUCAACAAUCAAAGGGAAGCCUGUGUAAUUAAUACUAUUUAGGCCAGGUUAAUGACAGGGGGAAAUGUCUCUUGUCAGCCCAGCUUUGCCUGUUGGUCCUGAUUUAGCAACAUGAAAGCAUUUUUUCUGAUUAGCUGUUCAGUGAAGGAGAUAAAAGAGAUGGCCAUGAAAUGUUUUGUUUAAUGUGAUGAAUGUAAAGGGACUGUUAGCACUGGGGAAGGGAGAGAGGAGAGGACACAAAAAGAAAGAGAGGUCUGGAACAGCAGAUGGUGCUAUGGCAUGAGACAGGCACAAUUGGGUGUGGGAAACCUGGGACUGGAAUAGUUGGGGGACUGCAGGUGAGGAGUGAAGGGUGCUGAUCUAGCUGGAGUUGGGACUGCAGGACAGCACUGGAAUAUUUUUAAGGGAGGUCACAAAACAGUGAGCAAAAGAGAACCAGUGGCUCUAAUUUAUUUAGAUUUUUGAAAGGCUUGUGAUAAAAUCCCUCACAAAAGGCAACCUGAUUGCAGAAUUUAGCUUUCUCAUUUGGUUAUCAAUUAAAAAUUGUUGGGGGGGGAGCUAGAACACAAAGAGGUGCAAUGAAUGGCUGUUUCUGAGCAUGGAAGAAGUUUUAAUAGCAGGAUGCUCCAGGGAACAUACCCCUAGCUGUCUAGUAUAGUUACUAAAGUGACACUGGUUAAAAGUUAUAUUUAAACAACAACAAAAUAUCUUAUUUGUCCCUAAAAGAGAUGGCAGUAGGCUCCAUUAGAAUCAUUCAACUGGCCUCCAGAAUACUGCACAUUUAAUGAUUUAAACUGAUUGCCCUAAUAGAAAUUCAAAAUCUAAUCAGUGAAAAUAGGUUAGUGCAGUUCAAUUUCUGUGUACAGUCAAUUUCUGGGAAAUUUCACUUUCUGGUUCUCUGGUGUUAUCAGGCUGUAGAAACGAUUAGGGACCAGUAUGAGUUAAUAGCUGAAUGAAAAAUUUUAUUAAUUGGGGGAAGAAGGUGGGCAUCCUGGAAAUAUUCCCCCGAUGUUUAUAAAACAUUGAAUUUAAGCAAAGAGAAACGUUAUGGUGAAACCAGCUAGUCCUGUCUCUUUAAUAAUUCUGGGAAGGGGGGGCAGGAGUGGAGGCACAUACAAAAUUAUUUAGAAAGGUAAUUGGUUUACAAGGUAGAAGACAAAUGUCCUUGUAGAUAAGAGCAAAGUGCUGGACAUUGAAGGAAUAGAGUAAGAUUUCUGAACAAACUGGGCAUUCUGAAUGAGCUGUAGCCUGAAGGUAAACAAGCACGUUAUCUUCUCUGACAGUGGAUUGUAGUGGACAAGAAAUAACACAAACCACAAGUUAGGUUGUUAUAGGGGCUUUUCUAUAAGCAGAUAAUGUGCCCUCCUUUGGAACCCUGGUUUUGAUUGUGGUCAUCUCCUCUCCGAGAGGUUGGUAUGGAAAUAGAAAAGUUCCCAAGAAAACAAUGGAAAUGCCAAUAGGGAUGUAAAGCUUCAGUACAGGUGAGAGAAAUGUGGACCAAUUAUGUAGAGAAGAGAAAUUAUAAUGGAAUAUCAAAUAAUGACAUGCUAAAGGGCAGACACACAUAUUGUGCUCAGUGCAGGGGUAACUAAAUGAGAUUCUAUGGUUUAUGUUAUACAGGAAGUCACAGUAGAUGAAUCAGUGUACCCAGGUUCAAAAGAAGAUUUGGUAUUUCUGUGAAUGAGGACAUCAAACAUUUUUCAGUUAGCUGUAAGUCAGGAAGAAAAGACUCCUGCCAUGGUACAGGGGCAUUUUCACUGACUGGCAUUCUUGCAUACUGGCCUCUGGCUUCUAUUCUAUUCUCUCCCAUUCAGGAAGAGCACAGAACAACUGCAGAUGCUUCCUCAGCCUGAAGAAGGGUGUUUGUACCCAAAAGCUUGCAAAGAAGAAUUUUUUCCAGCUGCUUUAGGUGGUCUAAUAAAAGAUAUCGGAUUUACCCUAAGAACCUUGUUUGCCUCCUGCCGUGGUAAGCAGCCAUUGUUAGUUAGGAUCAUUAUGUUGAGAGUUAUCCCUUUUUUGAAGAUCCUGCCAUUGGCUAUUGCUAGAUGCAAGAAGCUGGACUAGAAGGAGAGAUCCUCUACCCAACAAUGCAUGACAGUUAUUUAUCCAUAUUGUGUGUGCGCGCGCGCAUGCACACCUACUGCAGCACUGAGCAAAGUAGUUUGAUGGGAGUCUGCUCCAUUUUGUGGCUUGAGUUUUAACUGAUCAGUACUGUGUGUACCAUAAGCCACGGCGUAACGUUGCAACUAGUCCCAGCUGGGUCAUGACAGGGCCUCAAGGUACAGUUCUCCACAAGUCUCACAAGCCAGCUUGUCAAACUUCCCUUGACAAUAAG
Long non-coding RNA from Alligator sinensis (Chinese alligator), 3095 nucleotides. RefSeq lists it as uncharacterized. The transcript is spliced from 5 exons. Lineage: Eukaryota; Metazoa; Chordata; Crocodylia; Alligatoridae. The record is from RefSeq and is a predicted model, not a curated record.